GAAAAGAUAAGCUAAAUAUAAGCUUACGGGCUCAUACCCCGUCUAUGGAGAUACCUUCUCUUUUCA
This 66-nucleotide transfer RNA is filed under the name Typhlatya taina. RNAcentral describes it as "tRNA-Met". The record is from RNAcentral. Lineage: Eukaryota; Metazoa; Arthropoda; Malacostraca; Decapoda; Atyidae.